CCUACGGGAGGCUGCAGUAGGGAAUCUUCCACAAUGGGCGAAAGCCUGAUGGAGCAACGCCGCGUGGGUGAAGAAGGUCUUCGGAUCGUAAAACCCUGUUGUGAGAGAAGAAAGUGCGUGAGAGUAACUGUUCACGUUUCGACGGUAUCUAACCAGAAAGCCACGGCUAACUACGUGCCAGCAGCCGCGGUAAUACGUAGGUGGCAAGCGUUAUCCGGAUGUAGUGGGCGUAAAGGGAACGCAGGCGGUCUUGUAAGUCUGAUGUGAAAGGUUUCGGCUUAACAGGAGGAGUGCAUUGGACACUGGGAGACUUGAGUGCAGAAGAGGAGAGUGGAACUCCAGGUGUAGCGGUGAAAUGCGUAGAUAUAUGGAAGAACACCAGUGGCGAAAGCGGCUCUCUGGACUGUAACUGACGCUGAGGUUCGAAAGCGUGGGUAGCAAACAGGAUUAGAUACCCUUGUAGUC
This 465-nucleotide ribosomal RNA is filed under the name uncultured bacterium. RNAcentral describes it as "partial 16S ribosomal RNA". It matches the Rfam family "Bacterial small subunit ribosomal RNA", at positions 338 to 795 of the family's 1533-position model. The record is from RNAcentral.